RNAcentral lists this ribosomal RNA (450 nucleotides) under uncultured bacterium. RNAcentral's name for it is "partial 16S ribosomal RNA". It matches the Rfam family "Bacterial small subunit ribosomal RNA", at positions 354 to 796 of the family's 1533-position model. The record is from RNAcentral.
GUGGGGAAUAUUGGACAAUGGGCGAAAGCCUGAUCCAGCCAUGCCGCGUGUGUGAAGAAGGUCUUCGGAUUGUAAAGCACUUUAAGUUGGGAGGAAGGGCAGUAAGUUAAUACCUUGCUGUUUUGACGUUACCGACAGAAUAAGCACCGGCUAACUUCGUGCCAGCAGCCGCGGUAAUACGAAGGGUGCAAGCGUUCAUCGGAAUUACUGGGCGUAAAGCGCGCGUAGGUGGUUUUGUAAGUUGGAGGUGAAAUCCCCGGGCUCAACCUGGGAACUGCCUCCAAAACUGCAUGACUAGAGUACGGUAGAGGGUAGUGGAAUUUCCUGUGUAGCGGUGAAAUGCGUAGAUAUAGGAAGGAACACCAGUGGCGAAGGCGACUACCUGGACUGAUACUGACACUGAGGUGCGAAAGCGUGGGGAGCAAACAGGAUUAGAUACCCGAGUAGUCC